This 467-nucleotide ribosomal RNA is filed under the name Alcaligenaceae bacterium. RNAcentral's name for it is "bacterial SSU rRNA". It matches the Rfam family "Bacterial small subunit ribosomal RNA", at positions 1 to 455 of the family's 1533-position model. The record is from RNAcentral. Lineage: Bacteria; Pseudomonadati; Pseudomonadota; Betaproteobacteria; Burkholderiales; Alcaligenaceae.
AGAUUAAACUGAAGAGUUUGAUCCUGGCUCAGAUUGAACGCUAGCGGGAUGCUUUACACAUGCAAGUCGAACGGCAGCGCGAUAGGAAGCUUGCUUCUUAUUGGCGGCGAGUGGCGAACGGGUGAGUAAUAUAUCGGAACGUGCCUAGUAGCGGGGGAUAACUACGCGAAAGCGUGGCUAAUACCGCAUACGCCCUACGGGGGAAAGGGGGGGAUCGCAAGACCUCUCACUAUUAGAGCGGCCGAUAUCAGAUUAGCUAGUUGGUGGGGUAAAGGCUCACCAAGGCCACGAUCUGUAGCUGGUUUGAGAGGACGACCAGCCACACUGGGACUGAGACACGGCCCAGACUCCUACGGGAGGCAGCAGUGGGGAAUUUUGGACAAUGGGGGCAACCCUGAUCCAGCCAUCCCGCGUGUGCGAUGAAGGCCUUCGGGUUGUAAAGCACUUUUGGCAGGGAAGAAACGGCG